RNAcentral lists this long non-coding RNA (869 nucleotides) under Cyanistes caeruleus (blue tit). RNAcentral describes it as "lncRNA (ENSCCEG00000001898.1)". Lineage: Eukaryota; Metazoa; Chordata; Aves; Passeriformes; Paridae. The record is from RNAcentral.
CCACCAGAGCCAGCAGCUGCUCGGGGGGGGCCCCGCGCCCCAAAAGGGACCCCCCGCACCCCAAAAGGGACCCCCCGGGCUCGGGGGAUUCACCCCCCGACAGGGAACCCUCGGAGUCGGAGCCCGAGGGAGGAGCGGCCUCGUCCCCUGAAAGGGACCCGUCCAGGGAGGGGUCUCUGUCCCCCAAAAGGGACCCCUCAGACCCCAAAUGGGACCCCUCGGACCCCAAAUGGGACCCCAAAAGAGACCCCUCGGACCCCAAAUGGGACCCCAAAAGAGACCCCUCGGACCCCAAAAGGGACCCCUCGGACCCCAAAUGGGACACCUCAGACCCCAAAACAGACCCUCUAUCCCCCAAAAUGCACCCCUCGGACCCCAAAAUGCACCCCUCAGACCCCAAAACGGACCCCCUGGACCCCAAAUGGGACCCGUUGUCCCCCAAAAGGGACCCCCCAGACCCCAAAAGGGACCCCUUUAUGGGGGGGUCCUUGUCCCCCAAACGGGACCCAUUGGGAGGGGGGUCCCCAUCCCCCAGCAGGGUCCCCUGCCUCUGGGGGUCCCCAUUUGGGGUCUCCGGGCUCUGGGGGUCCCCAUUUGGGGUCUCCCGGUUUUGGGGGUCCCCGUCCUGGCCCCCCAGCUCCAGGUGCAGGUCGAGGUCGCAGCCGUGGACGUCGAAGCCGUUGACGGAGGAGCCGUAGGGGACAACGGAGCAGCCUGGGGGGGACACGGGGACAGGUGGGGAUGGGGGAGGACAGGUGGGGGACACACCUGGACACACCUGGGACACGUCACACACACCUGGAGCACACCUGGACACACCUGGGACACGUCACACACACCUGGAGCACACCUGGGACACGUCACACACA